CGUCAGUGAUCUGUUGUGGGGUGUUAGUGAAUGCAUCUGCAUGGGUGUGGUGGUCAGUUCAUAUGUGGGUGUCAGUGUUGUUUGAGGGCGUGGUGGUCAAU
Molecule: long non-coding RNA, 101 nt
Organism: Haliotis rubra (blacklip abalone)
Lineage: Eukaryota; Metazoa; Mollusca; Gastropoda; Lepetellida; Haliotidae
Exons: 3
Source: RefSeq, a predicted model, not a curated record